Molecule: ribosomal RNA, 904 nt
Filed under: uncultured Rubrobacteria bacterium
Lineage: Bacteria; Bacillati; Actinomycetota; Rubrobacteria
Description: bacterial SSU rRNA
Rfam family: Bacterial small subunit ribosomal RNA
Source: RNAcentral
GACGAACGCUGGCGGCGUGCUUAACACAUGCAAGUGGAGCGACGAACCGACCUUCGGGUCGGGGCAGAGCCGCGAACGGGUGAGUAACACGUGGGUAACCUACCCCGAUGACCGGGACAACCCGAGGAAACUCGGGCUAAUACCGGAUGAGCUCUUAUUCUUUGAGGAGUAAGAGGAAAGAUAGCUUCGGCCUUCGCAUCGGGACGGGCCCGCGGCCCAUUAGCUUGUUGGUGGGGUAAUGGCCUACCAAGGCUUCGAUGGGUAGCUGGUCUGAGAGGACGAUCAGCCACACUGGGACUGAUAGACGGCCCAGACUCCUACGGGAGGCAGCAGUGGGGAAUCUUGCACAAUGCGCGAAAGCGUGAUGCAGCAACGCCGCGUGGGGGAAGACGGCCUUCGGGUUGUAAACCCCUUUCAGUUGGGACGAAGCUUCGCCGGUGAAUAGCCGGCUGGAGUGACGGUACCUUCACAAGAAGCCCCGGCUAACUACGUGCCAGCAGCCGCGGUAAUACGUAGGGGGCAAGCGUUGUCCGGAAUCAUUGGGGCUAAAGCGCGUGUAGGCGGCCCGGUAAGGUCCGCUGUGAAAGUCGGGGGCUCAACCCUCGAAUGCCGGUGGAUACUGUCGGGCUAGAGUGCGGGAGAGGCGAGUGGAAUUCCUGGUGUAGCGGUGAAAUGCGCACAUAUCAGGAGGAACACCAAUUGCGAAGGCAGCUCGCUGGAACGUAACUGACGCUGAGACGCGAAAGCGUGGGGAGCAAACAGGAUUAGAUACCCUGGUAGUCCACGCUGUAAACGAUGGGCACUAGGUGUGGGGGGUGUAGACUCCCUCCGUGCCGAAGCUAACGCAUUAAGUGCCCCGCCUGGGGAGUACGGCCGCAAGGCUAAAACUCAAAGGAAUUGACGG